This 207-nucleotide unclassified non-coding RNA is filed under the name Hevea brasiliensis (rubber tree). The record is from RNAcentral. Lineage: Eukaryota; Viridiplantae; Streptophyta; Magnoliopsida; Malpighiales; Euphorbiaceae.
UUUUAGACUUGAUUCUGGAGUCAAGGAAAAUACAGGCAAAUCAACUGGCCUCGAUAUCCUUUGACCCAAAUGUGUCCCACAUGAAGCAAUGUCGUAGCCUCCAGAUGAAGAUGGGAGUAUUUUUUUUUCCAUCCAAGCUACCUUAAGUCGUAAUAAAACAAAACGUUUAUGACCAACAACUGCUCGCACAGUUAUAACUCAAUCCUG